Molecule: ribosomal RNA, 506 nt
Filed under: uncultured bacterium
Lineage: Bacteria
Description: partial 16S ribosomal RNA
Rfam family: Bacterial small subunit ribosomal RNA
Source: RNAcentral
AUUGAACGCUGGCAGCAGGCCUAACACAUGCAAGUCGAACGGUAACAGGAAACAGCUUGCUGUUUCGCUGACGAGUGGCGGACGGGUGAGUAAUGUCUGGGCAACUGCCUGAUGGAGGAGGAUAACUACUGGAAACGGUAGCUAAUCCCGCAUAACGUCGCAAGACCAAACAGGGGGACCUUCGGGCCUUGUGCCCUCGGCUUUGCCCAGAUGGGAUUAGCUUGUAGGUGGGGUAACGGCUCACCUAGGCCACGAUCACUGGCUGGUCUGAGCAGAUGACCAGCCACACUGGAACUAAGACACGGUCCAGACUCCUACGGGAGGCAGCAGUGGGGAAUAUUGCACAAUGGGCGCAAGCCUGAUGCAGCCAUGUCGCGUGUAUGAAGAAGGCCUUCGGGUUGUAAAGUACUUUCAGCGGGGAGGAAGGGAGUAAAGUUAAUACCUUUGCUCAUUGACGUUACCCACAGAAGAAGCACCGGCUAACUCCGUGCCAGCCGCCGCGGUAA